This 400-nucleotide ribosomal RNA is filed under the name uncultured bacterium. RNAcentral describes it as "bacterial SSU rRNA". It matches the Rfam family "Bacterial small subunit ribosomal RNA", at positions 355 to 772 of the family's 1533-position model. The record is from RNAcentral.
UGGGGAAUAUUGCACAAUGGGCGAAAGCCUGAUGCAGCAACGCCGCGUGAGUGAUGAAGGCCUUCGGGUUGUAAAGCUCUUUGAUCAGGGACGAUAAUGACGGUACCUGAAGAACAAGCCACGGCUAACUACGUGCCAGCAGCCGCGGUAAUACGUAGGUGGCAAGCGUUGUCCGGAUUUACUGGGCGUAAAGGAUGCGUAGGUGGAUAUUUAAGUGAGUUGUGAAAUACCAGAGCUUAACUUUGGUGCUGCAAUUCAAACUGGAUGUCUAGAGUGCAGGAGAGGAAAGUGGAAUUCUUAGUGUAGCGGUGAAAUGCGUAGAGAUUAAGAAGAACACCAGUGGCGAAGGCGACUUUCUGGACUGUAACUGACACUGAGGCAUGAAAGCGUGGGGAGCAAA